UACGUAGGGAGCAAGCGUUGUCCGGAAUCAUUGGGCGUAAAGCGCGCGUAGGCGGCCCGAUAAGUCCGCUGUGAAAGUCAACGGCUCAACUGUUGAAAGCCGGUGGAUACUGUCGGGCUAGAGUACGGAAGAGGCAAGUGGAAUUCCUGGUGUAGCGGUGGAAUGCGCAGAUAUCAGGAGGAACACCCAUAGCGAAGGCAGCUUGCUGGGACGUAACUGACGCUAAGGCGCGAAAGCGUGGGGAGCGAACAGG
Molecule: ribosomal RNA, 253 nt
Filed under: uncultured bacterium
Lineage: Bacteria
Description: partial 16S ribosomal RNA
Rfam family: Bacterial small subunit ribosomal RNA
Source: RNAcentral